This 496-nucleotide ribosomal RNA is filed under the name uncultured bacterium. RNAcentral's name for it is "partial 16S ribosomal RNA". It matches the Rfam family "Bacterial small subunit ribosomal RNA", at positions 28 to 506 of the family's 1533-position model. The record is from RNAcentral.
GAUGAACGCUGGCGGCGUGCCUAAUACAUGCAAGUCGAGCGAACGGACGAGAAGCUUGCUUCUCUGAUGUUAGCGGCGGACGGGUGAGUAACACGUGGAUAACCUACCUAUAAGACUGGGAUAACUUCGGGAAACCGGAGCUAAUACCGGAUAAUAUUUUGAACCGCAUGGUUCAAAAGUGAAAGACGGUCUUGCUGUCACUUAUAGAUGGAUCCGCGCUGCAUUAGCUAGUUGGUAAGGUAACGGCUUACCAAGGCAACGAUGCAUAGCCGACCUGAGAGGGGGAUCGGCCACACAGGAACUGAGACACGGCCCAGACUCCUACGGGAGGCAGCAGUAGGGAAUCUUCCGAAAUGGGCGAAAGCCUGACGGAGCAACGCCGCGUGAGUGAUGAAGGUCUUCGGAUCGUAAAACUCUGUUAUUAGGGAAGAACAUAUGUGUAAGUAACUGUGCACAUCUUGACGGUACCGAAGCAGAAAGCCACGGCUAACUACGU